RNAcentral lists this ribosomal RNA (464 nucleotides) under uncultured bacterium. Its description in RNAcentral is "bacterial SSU rRNA". It matches the Rfam family "Bacterial small subunit ribosomal RNA", at positions 335 to 788 of the family's 1533-position model. The record is from RNAcentral.
ACUCCUACGGGAGGCAGCAGUAGGGAAGUCUUCCACAAUGGGCGCAAGCCUGAUGGAGCAACACCGCGUGAGUGAAGAAGGGUUUCGGCUCGUAAAGCUCUGUUGUUAAAGAAGAACACGUAUGAGAGUAACUGUUCAUACGUUGACGGUAUUUAACCAGAAAGUCACGGCUAACUACGUGCCAGCAGCCGCGGUAAUACGUAGGUGGCAAGCGUUAUCCGGAUUUAUUGGGCGUAAAGAGAGUGCAGGCGGUUUUCUAAGUCUGAUGUGAAAGCCUUCGGCUUAACCGGAGAAGUGCAUCGGAAACUGGAUAACUUGAGUGCAGAAGAGGGUAGUGGAACUCCAUGUGUAGCGGUGGAAUGCGUAGAUAUAUAUGGAAGAACACCAGUGGCGAAGGCGGCUACCUGGUCUGCAACUGACGCUGAGACUCGAAAGCAUGGGUAGCGAACAGGAUUAGAUACCCU